AACUUUACACGAUCUCUGGCUCUCGCAUCGAUGAAGAACGCACGAAUGCGAUAAGUAAUGUGAAUUGCAGAAUUCAGUGAAUCAUCGAAUCUUUGAACGCACCUUGCGCUCCCUGGCAUUCCGGGGAGCACGCCUGUUCGAGUAUCG
Molecule: ribosomal RNA, 147 nt
Filed under: uncultured fungus
Lineage: Eukaryota; Fungi
Description: partial 5.8S ribosomal RNA
Rfam family: 5.8S ribosomal RNA
About the family: 5.8S ribosomal RNA (5.8S rRNA) is a component of the large subunit of the eukaryotic ribosome. It is transcribed by RNA polymerase I as part of the 45S precursor that also contains 18S and 28S rRNA.
Source: RNAcentral